RNAcentral lists this small RNA (683 nucleotides) under Pan troglodytes (chimpanzee). Its description in RNAcentral is "retained intron". Lineage: Eukaryota; Metazoa; Chordata; Mammalia; Primates; Hominidae. The record is from RNAcentral.
CGAGUCCCUCAGAGCUGGGAUGAGCACCCUCUGCAACUAUACCCCAUUCCCCAACCAUCAGCCCCUACAGCCAUUGGACCCUAGGGUAGCGGAAGUAGUGUUAGGAGCUCCAGGGAAGGGCGGAAGAAGGGCUGGGAAGGCAGCCAGGAGGCCCUGAACAUGCCCUCCUCCUGUGCCCUACCACCCAGAAGACCGGAAGCUCUUUGUGGGGAUGCUAGGGAAGCAGCAGACAGAUGAGGACGUCCGGAAGAUGUUUGAGCCCUUCGGGACCAUCGACGAGUGCACUGUGCUCCGGGGGCCAGAUGGCACCAGCAAAGGCUGCGCCUUCGUGAAGUUCCAGACCCACGCUGAGGCCCAGGCGGCCAUCAACACCCUUCACAGCAGCCGGACCCUGCCAGGUGCCUCGUCCAGCCUGGUGGUGAAGUUUGCUGACACCGAGAAGGAGCGAGGUCUCCGCCGCAUGCAGCAGGUGGCCACCCAGUUGGGCAUGUUCAGCCCCAUCGCCCUCCAGUUUGGAGCCUACAGCGCCUACACCCAGGCCCUGAUGCAGCAGCAGGCGGCCCUGGUAGCGGCUCACAGUGCCUACCUCAGCCCCAUGGCCACCAUGGCUGCCGUGCAGAUGCAGCACAUGGCUGCCAUCAAUGCCAAUGGCCUCAUCGCCACCCCCAUCACCCCAUCCUCAG